Molecule: long non-coding RNA, 1103 nt
Filed under: Oryza brachyantha (malo sina)
Lineage: Eukaryota; Viridiplantae; Streptophyta; Magnoliopsida; Poales; Poaceae
Description: long non-coding RNA (OBRA_LNC003372)
Source: RNAcentral
GGGUUUCUUCUCCCGCCUUUGAGUCCGAAGCACGCCUCCACACACAUCCGAGCUCCCAGUCUCUCUCUAGCGGCGGAAGCGACGACGGCGAUGAAAUGGGGGAUCCGGAUUCGGCUUGGGCGAGCUCGGGAGCUGCGACGACGACCUCCACGCACGACGACGACCUCAGUGACGACGGACGGCAGCGACGAGGUCGGGCGCGACGACGACGACCUCAGCGACGACGGAUGACAGCGACGAGCUCGGGCGCGGCGACGACGACCACCCCGCGGCAACGACGACCUCCCCGCGGCAACGACGACCUCGGGCAUGACGGAUCCGGCUCGGGAGAGCUCGGGCGUGGCGGAUCCGGCUCGGGCGCGGCGAUGACGACCUCGACGACAGUAGCGAGCUCGGGCGCGGCAACGAUGACCUCAGGCAUGGCGACGACGACCUCCUCGACGACGACGGUAGGCGGCGGAUCUGGUGCGAAGGACGGCGGCGGUCUCGGACGGCCGUGGCGUUGUACCGGCGGCUAGCGGCGGUGAUGGCGACCACGGGAGCAGUGGUGGCAGCGCUAGUUUUUAUUGUUUGGAAUUUUAUCUUUUUCACGAUUUUUUCUCUUUUGCAUGUGGUCCGCUUAAGCAUCUGCAUGCGAAAAAUCCAGCUGCGCUGGCCGCAUGGAAAGAUAGCCAUCUUUGCAGACGAUUUCGCCCGUGCGGCUGGCCCAACAAUAUUGUUAUGGUCCGUUUGCAAAAACUGAAUAUGUAGUAGUGCCGAUUUCGGGAGUACGCGCCGCCAGGCGAUUCGCCCUCAAGGCUACGCCCGCCCCAGCUCGAUGCCUCGCUCGCGCGUAGCCUCGUUUCUGAUGAGGUCGUGCGUUACAUCUGCGGGACGCGAGCGUGCUUGCAUGCUUUGGCGAUUUCAACCCACGUAGGAUGCACGCCAAGGUGGAUGGCCACUCGACAUGUACGCCCACUACGAGAGCCCAUAGGUCAUUCACACUGCAGACCACUUGUAUGAGUGGUCUAAUUAUGCCAUGUACAUAAAACUACUUUAGAGAUUCUCUUUUCACUGUGUAAGCUACUCUACAUGGACAUACACAAAAUUAUAUUUCAGCCCCU